GACGAACGCUGGCGGCGUGCUUAACACAUGCAAGUCGAACGGAAGGGCCCUGCUUUUGUGGGGUGCUCGAGUGGCGAACGGGUGAGUAACACGUGAGUAACCUGCCCUUGACUUUGGGAUAACUUCAGGAAACUGGGGCUAAUACCGGAUAGGAGCUCCUGCUGCAUGGUGGGGGUUGGAAAGUUUCGGCGGUUGGGGAUGGACUCGCGGCUUAUCAGCUUGUUGGUGGGGUAGUGGCUUACCAAGGCUUUGACGGGUAGCCGGCCUGAGAGGGUGACCGGCCACAUUGGGACUGAGAUACGGCCCAGACUCCUACGGGAGGCAGCAGUGGGAAAUAUUGCACAGUGGGCGGAAGCCUGAUGCAGCAACGCCGCGUGCGGGAUGACGGCCUUCGGGUUGUAAACCGCUUUCGCCUGUGACGAAGCGUGAGUGACGGUAAUGGGUAAAGAAGCACCGGCUAACUACGUG
This 468-nucleotide ribosomal RNA is filed under the name uncultured bacterium. Its description in RNAcentral is "partial 16S ribosomal RNA". It matches the Rfam family "Bacterial small subunit ribosomal RNA", at positions 28 to 507 of the family's 1533-position model. The record is from RNAcentral.